This 548-nucleotide ribosomal RNA is filed under the name uncultured archaeon. Its description in RNAcentral is "bacterial SSU rRNA". It matches the Rfam family "Archaeal small subunit ribosomal RNA", at positions 71 to 620 of the family's 1478-position model. The record is from RNAcentral.
GUAAUACAAGGCACACGGCUCAGUAACACGUAGCCAAUCUAACCUAUGGACGGGGAUAACCUCGGGAAACUGAGGAUAAACCCCGAUAGAUCAUUAUACCUGGAAAGGUUUAUGGUCCAAAUGAUUCGUCGCCGUAGGAUGAAACUGCGGCCUAUCAGCUUGUUGGUGAGGUAAUGGCCCACCAAGGCUAUUACAGGUACGGGCUCUGAGAGGAGAAGCCCGGAGAUGGGUACUGAGACACGGACCCAGGCCCUAUGGGGCGCAGCAGGCGAGAAACCUUUGCAAUGUGCGCAAGCACGACAAGGUUAAUCCGAGUGUUUCCUGCUAAAGGAAUCUUUUGUUAGUCUUAAAAUCACUAUUGAAUAAGGGGUGGGCAAGUUCUGGUGUCAGCCGCCGCGGUAAAACCAGCACCUCAAGUUGUCAGGAGGAUUAUUGGGCCUAAAGCAUCCGUAGCCUGCUCUGUAAGUUUCCGGUUAAAUCCAUUAGCUCAACUAAUGGGCUGCCGGAAAAACUGCAAAGCUAUGGAGUGGGAGAGGUANACNGUACUC